CUACGGAGGGUGCAAGCGUUACUCGGAAUCACUGGGCGUAAAGGACGCGUAGGCGGGUUGGAAAGUCUGAUGUGAAAUCCUACAGCUUAACUGUAGAACUGCAUUGGAAACUUCCAACCUAGAGUAUGGGAGGGGGAGAUGGAAUUAGUGGUGUAGGGGUAAAAUCCGUAGAUAUCACUAGGAAUACCUAAAGCGAAGGCGAUCUCCUGGAACAUAACUGACGCUAAGGCGUGAAAGCGUGGGGAGCAAACGGGAUUAGAAACCCUAGUAGUCC
Molecule: ribosomal RNA, 274 nt
Filed under: uncultured bacterium
Lineage: Bacteria
Description: partial 16S ribosomal RNA
Rfam family: Bacterial small subunit ribosomal RNA
Source: RNAcentral